ACGGGAGGCAGCAGUGAGGAAUAUUGGUCAAUGGGCGGAAGCCUGAACCAGCCAUGCCGCGUGCAGGAAUAAGGCCCUAUGGGUCGUAAACUGCUUUCGCCUGGGAGCAAUAAGGUCUACGUGUAGGCCGAUGAGAGUACCAGGCGAAUAAGCAUCGGCUAACUCCGUGCCAGCAGCCGCGGUAAUACGGAGGAUGCGAGCGUUAUCCGGAUUUAUUGGGUUUAAAGGGUGCGUAGGCUGUUCGUCAAGUCAGCGGUGAAAUGCCGGGGCUCAACCCCGGAGCUGCCGUUGAUACUGUCGGGCUUGAAUACUGUUGCCGUGGGAGGAAUGAGUAGUGUAGCGGUGAAAUGCAUAGAUAUUACUCAGAACACCGAUUGCGAAGGCAUCUCACGAAGCAGCGAUUGACGCUGAGGCACGAAAGCGUGGGGAUCAAACAGGAUUAGAUACCCUGGUA
Molecule: ribosomal RNA, 454 nt
Filed under: uncultured Rikenella sp.
Lineage: Bacteria; Pseudomonadati; Bacteroidota; Bacteroidia; Bacteroidales; Rikenellaceae
Description: bacterial SSU rRNA
Rfam family: Bacterial small subunit ribosomal RNA
Source: RNAcentral